CGUACAUUUCCUAGUCCUAUAUGGCCCUUUAAGCGGAAGGAUUAAUCUGAUAUCACUAAUUAUAAUAACAUGUGAAAAAUACAUCUCAACACAAUAAGUAAGCCUGGGAGCUGAUUCAUCCACAUCAGCUAAUACAAAUCUGAGCCAUCUCUAGAUUCAAGGAAUGAUUGUGCAAUGUCUCGUGAACGUACCUGUUGUAUUUCAUGAUAUAGUGGAAGGACACAGACUAAGAUGGGGUCGGAUCUCUCUCCCUGAUGAAUCGCUCAAUCCCCCGGAGCGGGGCUA
Molecule: long non-coding RNA, 285 nt
Filed under: Homo sapiens (human)
Lineage: Eukaryota; Metazoa; Chordata; Mammalia; Primates; Hominidae
Description: non-protein coding lnc-FAM156B-3:1
Source: RNAcentral